GGGGCUGAUUUUGGAUUUGACAGCAAUAUUAGUAAUAAAAGAUAGCAUAUCGUGUCACGUAAGGUAUUACACGAAAAUAAAGCGUUACAAAAUAUAUAAAUGGCGAAAAAGAAUACGCUUUUGCUGCUUAGUAAAUAGCCUUAGUCUGCAAAAAUGCAGAAGCAAAAUAUCUCUCAGAAAUUUUUCCUUAUAAUUUCUGAUCUAGAGGUACUAAUAAGUUUUAAGGAUAAGAAAACAGAUGAUUCUGAGGUUUUCUGAACCUAAAUUUUGAAUCUUCAGUUUUUAUUCUAGAUCCAAAACUGGAAUGGAAAUGUAGAAAUUUUAUUUUGGAUAAGUAUGUAGAAAUCUUUUAUACUACUUGUUUGGACGCGGGUUCGAAUCCCGCCAGCUCCAUUU
Molecule: transfer-messenger RNA, 396 nt
Filed under: Blattabacteriaceae
Lineage: Bacteria; Pseudomonadati; Bacteroidota; Flavobacteriia; Flavobacteriales
Also listed under: 1 other name
Description: Blattabacterium sp011290385 Standard tmRNA
Rfam family: transfer-messenger RNA
About the family: Bacterial tmRNA, also known as 10Sa RNA or SsrA, is named for its dual tRNA and mRNA-like properties. Its role is to liberate the mRNA from a stalled ribosome.
Source: RNAcentral